This 30-nucleotide non-coding RNA is filed under the name Mus musculus (house mouse). The record is from RNAcentral. Lineage: Eukaryota; Metazoa; Chordata; Mammalia; Rodentia; Muridae.
UGAUUAUUGUAAUUAUGUCUCCAUAAUGCA